Molecule: ribosomal RNA, 468 nt
Filed under: uncultured bacterium
Lineage: Bacteria
Description: partial 16S ribosomal RNA
Rfam family: Bacterial small subunit ribosomal RNA
Source: RNAcentral
AUGAACGCUGGCGGCGUGCUUAAUACAUGCAAGUCGAACGAGGAACUUUUAUCUUCGGAUUAGAGUUUCCUAGUGGCGAACGGGUGAGUAACGCGUUGGUGACCUGCCCUGAAGUGGGGGAUAACAGGUCGAAAGGACGGCUAAUACCCCAUGAUAUCAGCUGGGUUAGAGACCGGCUGAUCAAAGGAGGAAGCCGCUUUAGGAGGGGCCUGCGUCCCAUCAGCUUGUUGGUAGGGUAAUGGCCUACCAAGGCUUUGACGGGUAGGGGACCUGAGAGGGUGACCCCCCACACUGGCACUGAAACACGGGCCAGACACCUACGGGUGGCAGCAGUAGGGAAUUUUGGACAAUGGGCGAAAGCCUGCUCCAGCACCGCCGCGUGCACGAUGACGGCCUUCGGGUUGUAAAGUGCUUUUAGGGGAGAUGAGAAAGGACAGUAUCCCCUGAAUAAGCCUCGGCGAACUACGU